UAUCUCUGUAGAGUCUGCAUAUCAAUAAGCGGAGGAAAAGAAACUAACUAGGAUUCCCCUCAGUAACGGCGAGUGAAGCGGGAAGAGCUCAAAUUUGAAAUCUUCAAGGUUUUACCUUGACGAAUUGUAGUUUAAAGAAGUGUUUUCUGUUGGAGUUUUGGUAAAAGUUCUUUGGAAUAGGACAUCAUAGAGGGUGAGAAUCCCGUAUUUGACCAUUAUUUCUAGCUUUGUGAUACACUUUCAAAGAGUCGGAUUGUUUGGGAAUGCAGUCCAAAAUGGGUGGUAAAUUUCAUCUAAAGCUAAAUAUUGGCGAGAGACCGAUAGCGAACAAGUACCGUGAGGGAAAGAUGAAAAGAACUUUGAAAAGAGAGUUAAACAGUACGUGAAAUUGUCAAAAGGGAAGCGUUUGACACCAGUGUUGUUUUCUCGAAAAUCAAUUAAAAAGUGCUAGGAUUUUGUGUUGUAUUGACUUUAUCAGCUUUCUGCACUCUUUUCUUGUCUUUUUUAAUGCACUUUUCGUUUAACAAGUCAACAUCAAUUUCUUUUGUUGUAAAAGGGUCAUUGGAAGGUGGCUUUCUUUUCGGAGAAAGUGUUUAUAGCCUUUGGCCUCUGCAACCGGAGAGAUUGAGGUCUGCAGCGUAGACUCUUCGGGGUUAGAUACGUCGGUGCUAAGCUAUAGCUUUUCAUAGACAACUUGUUGACUAUGUUUAGUCAUGUGGCUUACCCGCUGGCGCUAUUUUACCUACGCUUAGGAUGUUGAGUCAUCACACAUCUCU
RNAcentral lists this ribosomal RNA (776 nucleotides) under uncultured Neocallimastigales. RNAcentral's name for it is "partial large subunit ribosomal RNA". It matches the Rfam family "Eukaryotic large subunit ribosomal RNA", at positions 24 to 618 of the family's 3401-position model. Lineage: Eukaryota; Fungi; Neocallimastigomycota; Neocallimastigomycetes; Neocallimastigales. The record is from RNAcentral.